Molecule: long non-coding RNA, 1828 nt
Organism: Pectinophora gossypiella (pink bollworm)
Lineage: Eukaryota; Metazoa; Arthropoda; Insecta; Lepidoptera; Gelechiidae
Exons: 3
Source: RefSeq, a predicted model, not a curated record
UUGAAUCACCUGAUUCCCGAAAAAGUAAGAUGACUCUGGAAUGCUUUGGAAUCCAAAGCACGUUAAGCCGUUGGUCCUGGCUAUUAGCGAUAAAAACGCCUCCACCAACCCGCAGUGGAGCAGCGUGAUGGAGUAUGCUUCAUACCUCCUCCGGUUGAUUGAGGGGAGGCCUGAGCCAUAAAAAUUAAAAAAAUAUAUAUAAAGCCAAUUACAACAUACAUAAACUCACGCCUAUUUCCCACCGGGACAUUGGGUACAUUUACUUCUGGUACUUUACCUGCACAUUUGGUGGCAACCUUGCUGAGCGGAUAAUAGUACAACUUUUACUAAACUUUCAUUACAAGGAGUGAUCUUUUCUACUGACAUUCAUAAUUAAUAAUUACGUUUAUAAAUCAAAUUAUACAACCAUUAAAGAGUGAAUAAAUGUAUCGCAGUUUUUAUAUACUUAGUGAUAUUAUUAUUGUCCUAGUUCACCUAAAGGGUUUAGUUUCUUUAGAUCCGUUUUAUAACACGUUUUAUGACAUCGUAACGAAAACUUUCAGGGAUGAUUCAGACCAUGAUUCUAGGUUGAUAUCAAGUGGAAUUUGCCGUUGCAAAAAUAUGGAACUGAAAAUAACUGAAAAAAAAAACUAAAAUUUUCAUGAAUUUUCCGACAGAAAAUUCCACUUGAUAUAAACUCAGAAUCAUGGUCUGAAUCAUCCUCUUCAGUGUUCGUACCGGUGUCACUAAUAGUCAUACGUACGUGUGUGGCUACCUGUAUGUAAUUGUACGGGGUGUAAGUGACAUCGUAACAAAUACCGAGGGGAAUGAUUCAUCUCAUUAUUCUAAGUUAAUAUCAUGUGGAAUUUUCCAUUGCAAAAAUAUAAAUUAAAAAUAAUUUAAAAAAUAUACGCAAGUAAACGGAAUACUCUUCAUGAUAUUAACUUAGAAUCAUGAGCUGAAUCAUCCCUUUCAGUAUUCGUUACGAUGUCACUAUGACAUACAAUACAAUACUAUUAUAAUAAUAAUACUACUAUAAUACUAUUAGAUAAGUACACAAACAUUAAAAUAUUGAAUAUUGAAUAAUUACAAUGUCAGAAAUUCCUUUUUAUUAUACCAAACCUUUUUUUUCAGUCUGGUAUUUAUUUGCUGGUACUCUUUACAGUUCUGGUACUUUUUAUGGGCAGCAGAUAAUCUUCAGAUGACUAAUAAGUACCUAAUUCUACCCUACUUUAUUUAUUUUAUUUUAUUUAUUUUAUUUAUUUAUUUUUUACUUAAACAAUAUCUUUACAGGUAUACCCAAUGCGAUAUCGAUACAUAAAUGCGAUUAAAUAUUUUAUAAAACAAAGUAUGAACACACACACAACAUAACAUCUAGUACCCACUGAAAUAAUUUAGAGACCGUUCUGUGAAUAAUGAAAAAAUAAAUUCGAGUAAAGAUAGGUAGUGCCCUGCUCUUGCGCUUCGUUUUGCUCGUCUUGGUUGGGGCACUCCUAUGCCCCCAGAUAAUAACCUCUCACAAAUAGGAUAAAACCCACAAAGACAGAAAGCUCGGUGUGAAAGGAGUACUCAGUUGCGAGCUUGUUUUUUUUUAAUUGAGAGAAGCGCUUUUGACAACAAUCUCACCUGAUAGUAAGUGACAAUGUAGUCGAGAAUGGGACAUGUUUAUCUAGAAAAUGGCUAUUCGUUUAGUUUGUAAUUUAUAGGUAAACAAUUUCAUCAAGCUAAGGUCUUUGCCUGUCAGUGGGAUUAAGUAGCCAUGUAUUUGUAAUGUUUAUUUCUGUUAUUUGUACGUACUUACAUCAUUUUACGCUAAUUUUAUUUUAUUUAUAUACUUACUUACUCAAUG